Daucus carota subsp. sativus is the source of this 1859-nucleotide long non-coding RNA. RefSeq lists it as uncharacterized. The transcript has 4 exons. Lineage: Eukaryota; Viridiplantae; Streptophyta; Magnoliopsida; Apiales; Apiaceae. The record is from RefSeq and is a predicted model, not a curated record.
UCCCCUCUCCAAUAUUUUUCUUCAGCCAAACAGGUCUUGAAGUUUACGCAAUCCUCGAUGUCGACGGAAGUGGAGAAAGUACAUAUGAGUAAGAUGAAAAGACAUAUCUUUGUUGAUGAACCAUACGGAUGCGAAGCGAUCGAGUUCUAUAAAGCUGUAUUCAGGGCAGUUGAAGUGAAUCGUGUGUACGAGGAAAUCGAAACUGAUGAUGAGAUCAAAGGGUCCGUUAGAGUGGUGUCUUGCGAGUUGCAACUCUGUUCCAGUAUUAUUAUCGUGUCGGAACUUACUCCCAAAUCUUGCAUGCUGAAUCAGAGAAAUGUUGCACAUCUACCUCCAAGAGGAACAAUGUUAGUGUACGCGGAAGACGUGGCACCUGUUGUUGAUUUAGCUGCACGAUUGGGGUCCUCGAUUUUGAAAGAUGAGAAGUAUGAAAAACAUAUUAAGGAUCCGUAUGGUUCUGUAUGGAUUAUUCGCACUGUCCCUGCCGCCAGGUAGCCACGGUAGGUACUAGCAACCCUCGGGGAGAAAAUUUUAUCUAAUAUGGGAAGUUGGGAUUUGGGACUUGGAACAAACAAGUGCAUCAUAUGCAGUUUGCAUAAUUGUAGAUUACAUGUGAUUCAGUUGAUUUUGAUCGGUUUGCUUAGUUGUAGAUUACCCUCUGAUUCAGCUCAUUUUUAGCUUUGCCUAUAUGGCUAUAUUUAUAAAUUUGAAGCUCAAGCAAUUUAACUGAAGUUUUUUAUUUUCCGAUUUUUGGGUUAUGAUGAGUUAUUAGGGUUUAUGAUAUUCAAGUAGGGAUUUGAAUUUAUUUUAAGUGUAAUUUGUAGUUAAGGUAAGAAUAAAUUGAAUGUUGUUGAUUUUUCGGGGAAAAUGUUUAUGAUUUUAGGAUGUAUUUUGUGGAUGAUUGUUUGACAGGGGAUUGCGAAAGUUGCUAAUAAGUAAAGCUCUGAAGUUUGGAAAUUAUUUGACUAAAAUUUACCCGACUUUAUUAGUAUGAUCAAUUAACAGACUUUCUUAAGAGCGGUGACACGGCGUUGCACUUUUACUAAAUAGGAUAGUUUUUGGAUUAAUGGCAAGGCUGGUUUUGGUUGUAUAAGUUACUCUCAUGCUUGGAACUCGGAGAUUUGUGUGAUAAAGAAGAAAGGUUAAUGAAAAGGAGGAGCAGGUAUUAUGGAUUUUAAUACUUUCAGUUAUUAUAAAAUGGAAUUGUUAUAAGAUAUUUUACGUCGUAUUAAGUCAUAAUUUCAUCCUGCUAGAAGAAAGGAAUGGAACACUAUCCAACACUAUGUAAAUCUUGAGUUUUCUUUGUUCUUUUUUUAGUUGGACUUUUGUUGCUAACAAAAGAACUGAAGAUGUUACUCUGUAUUGUUUGGUGGCCAUCAUAUCUUUUGUAGUGUUACAUUCUUGUUCUAUGUAUAAAAAGUUUGAAAUGAUUUUGCUUAAUCCUAUUACUCAAACCUUUAAGUCGCUCACAUGUGUCGGAUUUAUGCGUGGAUUGGUUGCAAUUCAGCCAAGUUUGGAUACUUGUAUGUUGCUGCUCCUACACGUCCUGUAAAUGCGGAGAAGAGGCUGGUGCAGAAGUUGAUUGAACUAGGUUAUGCAAAGCCUAAAUCUAAGGAAUUGUCUUUGUAGCAAAUUUCAUGGAGUCCAAGAUUUUGCAUGUUAGCAACGUUUGCCUGAAAAAUUUGACAGAUGAUAAAUGCUCAAUUUUAAUGUGCCAAGCUGUGGAUUGCAGCAGCCAUUGUAUUCGCUUCCUAUCUUUUGUGAGGGGAUCUUUACGUUGUAUGAUCAUUUCAAAUGGUGGAUUAGUUUGUCAUAUAUUAUAGAUCAUCGGAUUUGAAAUAUAGAUUAUGGUAAUCAAU